Molecule: long non-coding RNA, 662 nt
Filed under: Gossypium raimondii (Peruvian cotton)
Lineage: Eukaryota; Viridiplantae; Streptophyta; Magnoliopsida; Malvales; Malvaceae
Description: long non-coding RNA (GRAI_LNC003223)
Source: RNAcentral
CUCGGGGUUGGAGGAGAGAGUUAUUUUGGAAUUUUCAUCCUGGAGAGCGGCGGAUACGAGAGGGAUGUUCAACUUGGAAGCGGCGGCUUCAGCCGGCUUGAUGCCUUCGGCUGGGAUUAAUAACAGCUUGGAUUCUGAAUCAGAAAGGUAAAACUCAAACUCCUCGGCAGUAUAAGCUGAGUUUAACGGCGCGGCGGUUGCACGGCAACGAAUUACAGCCAAGAACAUAAUAACAAGCUAUAUAUGAAAAAAAAAGAAUUAUUUUUUCAGUAACUAAUAAUAGUAAAAUAAAACAAGGCAACUCGAAGCCUCUGUUUGGCAGCUCAGUAAAUGAUGGAAACCAAACAAUGAAAAAACAGUAUCACGAAAAAUUAAAAUUAAAAUGAGAAAGAAAAGAAAAUUUGAUCUUUUUAUAACCUAAUAGACAAAGACAUUUUAUAUGCGUUUUGCUUUCUUUCUUUUUUAACUAAAGAAGGGUUUUUUAUUUGAAGGGAAAACAGUUUAACACGUAAAAUAAUUAAAAGCGACAAUUUUAUUUUCUUCCUCCGUAUUUUCUCAUCGACCAAACAGAAUCUGAUCCUAAUGAUUCAUUCAAGAAGGUUUUAUUGAUUGAAACGUAAGAAGAAAAAGAAAAAAAAGUAAACAUACCUCCACGGUGUUUG